RNAcentral lists this transfer RNA (87 nucleotides) under Bacteroidota bacterium. RNAcentral's name for it is "Bacteroidetes bacterium (groundwater metagenome) tRNA-Ser". It matches the Rfam family "tRNA". From Rfam's summary of the family: Transfer RNA (tRNA) molecules are approximately 80 nucleotides in length. Their secondary structure includes four short double-helical elements and three loops (D, anti-codon, and T loops). Lineage: Bacteria; Pseudomonadati; Bacteroidota. The record is from RNAcentral.
GGAGAGGUGGCUGAGUGGUUUAUAGCACCGGUCUUGAAAACCGGAGUGCUCGCAAGGGUACCGGGGGUUCGAAUCCCUCCCUCUCCG